Molecule: ribosomal RNA, 253 nt
Filed under: uncultured bacterium
Lineage: Bacteria
Description: partial 16S ribosomal RNA
Rfam family: Bacterial small subunit ribosomal RNA
Source: RNAcentral
UACAGAGGGGGCAAGCGUUGUUCGGAAUUACUGGGCGUAAAGGGCGCGUAGGCGGCCUGCUAAGUCGAACGUGAAAUCCCCGAGCUCAACUCGGGAACUGCGUUCGAUACUGACAGGCUUGAAUCCGGGAGAGGGAUGCGGAAUUCCAGGUGUAGCGGUGAAAUGCGUAGAUAUCUGGAGGAACACCGGUGGCGAAGGCGGCAUCCUGGACCGGCAUUGACGCUGAGGCGCGAAAGCAUGGGGAGCGAACGGG